RNAcentral lists this ribosomal RNA (1441 nucleotides) under uncultured bacterium. Its description in RNAcentral is "SSU rRNA". It matches the Rfam family "Bacterial small subunit ribosomal RNA". The record is from RNAcentral.
ACGAACGCUGGCGGCGUGCCUAACACAUGCAAGUCGAACGGGAAGUUUCUCUUCGGAGAAAUGGAGAGUGGCGCACGGGUGAGUAACACGUAGCUAACCUGCCCUCAAGACCGGGACAACCUUCGGAAACGGGGGCUAACACCGGAUAAGCUCACGGACGGUAGGGGUGAGUGAGAAAAGACUGAGGUGCUUGAGGAGGGGGCUGCGGCCCAUCAGCUAGCUGGUAGGGUAACGGCCUACCAGGGCGAAGACGGGUAGGGGACCUGAGGGGGUGACCCCCCACACUGGGACUGAGACACGGCCCAGACUCCUACGGGAGGCAGCAGUGAGGGAUAUUGCGCAAUGGGCGAAAGCCUGACGCAGCAACGCCGCGUGAGCGAGGAAGGCCUUCGGGUCGUAAAGCUCUUUUCUGCGUGACGAGGACGGACGGUAGCGCGGGAAUAAGUCUCGGCUAACUACGUGCCAGCAGCCGCGGUAAAACGUAGGAGGCGAGCGUUAUCCGGAGUUACUGGGCGUAAAGCGCGUGUAGGCGGCAUAGCAAGUCCGGCGUGAAAGCUCCCGGCUCAACUGGGAGAGGUCGUCGGAAACUGCUGAUCUGGAGUGCGGCAGAGGGGCAUGGAAUUCCGGGUGUAGUGGUGAAAUGCGUAGAUAUCCGGAGGAACACCAGUGGCGAAGGCGAUGCCCUGGGCCGCAACUGACGCUGAGACGUGAAAGCGUGGGGAGCGAACGGGAUUAGAAACCCCGGUAGUCCACGCCGUAAACGAUGCACACUAGGCGUUCGCGGGGCGAAAGCGUCGUGAGUGCCGCAGCAAACGCGAUAAGUGUGCCGCCUGGGGAGUACGGUCGCAAGGCUAAACUCAAAGGAAUUGACGGGGGCCCGCACAAGCAGCGGAGCGUGUGGUUUAAUUCGAGGCUACGCGAAGAACCUUACCUGGAUUUGACAUCAUGGUGGUAAUGAGGCGAAAGCCGAGUGACCUACGGGAGCCAUGACAGGUGCUGCAUGGCUGUCGUCAGCUCGUGCCGUGAGGUGUUCGGUUAAGUCCGCAAACGAGCGCAACCCUCGGGCUUAGUUACAAGUGUCUAAGCCGACUGCCCGCGACAAGCGGGAGGAAGGUGGGGAUGACGUCAAGUCAGCAUGGCCUUUAUGUCCAGGGCGACACACACGCUACAAUGGGCAGUACAAAGGGCAGCGAAACCGCGAGGUGGAGCCAAUCUCAGAAAGCUGUUCGUAGUUCGGAUUGCAGGCUGCAACUCGCCUGCAUGAAGUCGGAGUUGCUAGUAACCGCAGGUCAGCCACACUGCGGUGAAUACGUUCCCGGGCCUUGUACACACCGCCCGUCACGUCAUGGAAGUCGGUCACGCCUGAAGUCGGGGAGCCAACCGCAAGGAGGCAACCGCCGAGGGCAGGGCUGGUGACUGGGACGAAGUCGUAACAGGUAGC